GAUGAGAGGCCCCUGCGAGGGAGCUCUGUGAACCUGGUCAGGGUGGAAACACAGCAGCCAUAAGCAGUCGGCUUUUUGUGCGGUGGGCCUCUCAUCGGC
This 99-nucleotide signal recognition particle RNA is filed under the name Pirellulales bacterium. RNAcentral describes it as "signal recognition particle sRNA small type". It matches the Rfam family "Bacterial small signal recognition particle RNA". From Rfam's summary of the family: The signal recognition particle (SRP) is a universally conserved ribonucleoprotein involved in the co-translational targeting of proteins to membranes. Archaeal SRP consists of a 7S RNA and homologues of the eukaryotic SRP19 and SRP54 proteins. The record is from RNAcentral. Lineage: Bacteria; Pseudomonadati; Planctomycetota; Planctomycetia; Pirellulales.